UCAACCCUCAAGCUCUGCUUGGUAUUGGGAUCUGCCCCCAGCGGACAGCCCCUAAUUACGUCGGCGGCGGUAUUGAACCUAAAGCGUAGUAGAAUACACUUCCUAGGUUGAGCAUCGUCUGCCUUGCAAACCCCAUCUUAAA
RNAcentral lists this unclassified non-coding RNA (142 nucleotides) under uncultured Ascomycota. RNAcentral's name for it is "sequence contains ITS2". Lineage: Eukaryota; Fungi; Ascomycota. The record is from RNAcentral.